AAGCCCCUGCUUUGUUGGUCAGCGGGCAGAAAAUUGUGUCCCAACGUUUAAAACUUAGGGGGUAAGACCUGAAAAUGGUGUGCAUGUCCGGUAAAUCCGGAAAGCCUUAAAUUUUCAAUGAUACUCCCACCUGGGAAACCGGGUCCAAGUUUUCUGUCGCAACCGCAAAAGCGGGGGUUUU
RNAcentral lists this non-coding RNA (181 nucleotides) under Nitrospirota bacterium. RNAcentral's name for it is "Nitrospirae bacterium (groundwater metagenome) 6S RNA". It matches the Rfam family "6S / SsrS RNA". Rfam says of the family: E. coli 6S RNA was the first non coding RNA to be sequenced, but its function was unknown until recently. It consists of 184 nucleotides that fold into an extended hairpin structure with a large single-stranded internal bulge. The record is from RNAcentral. Lineage: Bacteria; Pseudomonadati; Nitrospirota.